RNAcentral lists this small RNA (660 nucleotides) under Pongo abelii (Sumatran orangutan). RNAcentral's name for it is "processed transcript". Lineage: Eukaryota; Metazoa; Chordata; Mammalia; Primates; Hominidae. The record is from RNAcentral.
GUACUCAUGCAAAGAGUAAUGAUUGAUGCAGCUUCUACAGAAGAUCUCGAAUACCUGAUGCAUGCAAAACAGCAGCUAGUAACCACAGCUAAACGUUGGGAUUCUUCCUCUAAGACUAUUAUAGAUUUUGAACCUAAUGAAACUACUGAUUUGGAGAAGAGCCUUCUUAUCAGAUACCAAAUUCCCCUCUCUGCUGACCAGCUAUUUACCCAGUCCGUUUUAGACAAAUCAUUGACCAAGAGCAACUAUCAGUCACGGUUACAUGACCUUCUUUAUAUUGAGGAGAUAGCCCAGUAUAAAGAAAUCAGCAAAGAUGGGGUUUUGCCACGUUGCCCAGGGAAGAUCUGGAACUCCUGGGCUCAAGUGAUCCACCCGCUCUGGCCUCCCAAGGUGCUGGGAUUACAGGCAUGAGCCACCACCCCUGGCCCAGUUUGUGUGAUCUAUCUGGAGAGCUGUUUGGCAGUUUGUAUCAAGGACCUUAAGUUUGAAUCUUUUGGUGUGGAAAUUCCACUUAUGGGGGAUCAUAAGCAAUAAUCAGAGUCAAAGAUGUCUGGACACAUGUCUUGCAAAGAGUAGUGAAGAAAAAGUUAAUUAUGAUAUAGCUAUAUGAUUGAAUGUUAUACAACUUGAAAUUAUGUUCUUGAAGAAUUUUUAAUGCAG